Molecule: ribosomal RNA, 1371 nt
Filed under: uncultured bacterium
Lineage: Bacteria
Description: bacterial SSU rRNA
Rfam family: Bacterial small subunit ribosomal RNA
Source: RNAcentral
GAUGAACGCUGGCGGCGUGCCUAAUACAUGCAAGUCGAGCGAACGGACGAGAAGCUUGCUUCUCUGAUGUUAGCGGCGGACGGGUGAGUAACACGUGGAUAACCUACCUAUAAGACUGGGAUAACUUCGGGAAACCGGAGCUAAUACCGGAUGAUAUUUUGAACCGCAUGGUUCAAAAGUGAAAGACGGUCUUGCUGUCACUUAUAGAUGGAUCCGCGCUGCAUUAGCUAGUUGGUAAGGUAACGGCUUACCAAGGCAACGAUGCAUAGCCGACCUGAGAGGGUGAUCGGCCACACUGGAACUGAGACACGGUCCAGACUCCUACGGGAGGCAGCAGUAGGGAAUCUUCCGCAAUGGGCGAAAGCCUGACGGAGCAACGCCGCGUGAGUGAUGAAGGUCUUCGGAUCGUAAAACUCUGUUAUUAGGGAAGAACAUAUGUGUAAGUAACUGUGCACAUCUUGACGGUACCUAAUCAGAAAGCCACGGCUAACUACGUGCCAGCAGCCGCGGUAAUACGUAGGUGGCAAGCGUUAUCCGGAAUUAUUGGGCGUAAGCGCGCGUAGGCGGUUUUUUAAGUCUGAUGUGAAAGCCCACGGCUCAACCGUGGAGGGUCAUUGGAAACUGGAAAACUUGAGUGCAGAAGAGGAAAGUGGAAUUCCAUGUGUAGCGGUGAAAUGCGCAGAGAUAUGGAGGAACACCAGUGGCGAAGGCGACUUUCUGGUCUGUAACUGACGCUGAUGUGCGAAAGCGUGGGGAUCAAACAGGAUUAGAUACCCUGGUAGUCCACGCCGUAAACGAUGAGUGCUAAGUGUUAGGGGGUUUCCGCCCCUUAGUGCUGCAGCUAACGCAUUAAGCACUCCGCCUGGGGAGUACGACCGCAAGGUUGAAACUCAAAGGAAUUGACGGGGACCCGCACAAGCGGUGGAGCAUGUGGUUUAAUUCGAAGCAACGCGAAGAACCUUACCAAAUCUUGACAUCCUUUGACAACUCUAGAGAUAGAGCCUUCCCCUUCGGGGGACAAAGUGACAGGUGGUGCAUGGUUGUCGUCAGCUCGUGUCGUGAGAUGUUGGGUUAAGUCCCGCAACGAGCGCAACCCUUAAGCUUAGUUGCCAUCAUUAAGUUGGGCACUCUAAGUUGACUGCCGGUGACAAACCGGAGGAAGGUGGGGAUGACGUCAAAUCAUCAUGCCCCUUAUGAUUUGGGCUACACACGUGCUACAAUGGACAAUACAAAGGGCAGCGAAACCGCGAGGUCAAGCAAAUCCCAUAAAGUUGUUCUCAGUUCGGAUUGUAGUCUGCAACUCGACUACAUGAAGCUGGAAUCGCUAGUAAUCGUAGAUCAGCAUGCUACGGUGAAUACGUUCCCGGGUCU